This 485-nucleotide ribosomal RNA is filed under the name uncultured bacterium. RNAcentral's name for it is "partial 16S ribosomal RNA". It matches the Rfam family "Bacterial small subunit ribosomal RNA", at positions 28 to 523 of the family's 1533-position model. The record is from RNAcentral.
GAUGAACGCUGGCGGCGUGCUUAACACAUGCAAGUCGAACGGUGAACACGGAGCUUGCUCUGUGGGAUCAGUGGCGAACGGGUGAGUAACACGUGAGCAACCUGCCCCUGACUCUGGGAUAAGCGCUGGAAACGGCGUCUAAUACUGGAUACGAGUAGCGGCCGCAUGGUCAGUUACUGGAAAGAUUUUUUGGUUGGGGAUGGGCUCGCGGCCUAUCAGCUUGUUGGUGAGGUAAUGGCUCACCAAGGCGUCGACGGGUAGCCGGCCUGAGAGGGGGACCGGCCACACUGGGACUGGGAAACGGCCCAGACUCCUACGGGAGGCAGCAGUGGGGAAUAUUGCACAAUGGGCGAAAGCCUGAUGCAGCAACGCCGCGUGAGGGAUGACGGCCUUCGGGUUGUAAACCUCUUUUAGCAGGGAAGAAGCGAAAGUGACGGUACCUGCAGAAAAAGCGCCGGCUAACUACGUGCCAGCAGCCGCAGUAA